Molecule: long non-coding RNA, 682 nt
Organism: Calypte anna (Anna's hummingbird)
Lineage: Eukaryota; Metazoa; Chordata; Aves; Apodiformes; Trochilidae
Exons: 3
Source: RefSeq, a predicted model, not a curated record
UCUGGGGGCGUCAGCGAGGUUGUGUCCCUGCUCGGUGUUCGGAGUUGGGGAAUUUUGGCAGCGUGACAAAAACUGGGACCGGGGGACUCCGUCACCGGAGCUGCGGGGAGGGGACCCGCCGGUUCUCGCCGAGCCGAGCCGAGCCGUGCCGUGCCGUGCCGUGCUGCCCCGUGCGGGGUUCUCCCGCGGUCCGGGCCCACCCCGACCUUCUCGGUGCUGCCUAUGACUGCGGGACACCGUGUUGCUCCGCAGUGCCCGGGGUCAGCAGGAGCCUUCUCGGGCGGAGCGACCCCGUAUGGCGCUUGGCAUCCCGCCUCGGGAGCUCUGAAGCCACAAACGGGAUCGGGAUCAUUUUCAGAUGUUUGUGCAGGCACUGCCUCGUGUCCCCAAGCCCCGGCAUUUACCUUUUAGAAGUGCAACUCCAGCCAUCAGCAGUUUGUACUGAUAGUAAUUCUUGGCUGAUCUCAGCACAUGUCAUUGCAGGGUUUGGCAAGAGUGAGUUGAGCCCUCCAUUGGUUUUGAAGAAGAGCAUACUCUCCACAAACCCAAACCAAAGCAAGUCCUGUAAGCUGAACCCUUCCAUGUGAUAGCAAACAAGACAUAUAACUAAGGGCAGAAUGAAGAGCUUUCCACAAGUCAGUGAUUUUUCCAUACCCAAGGGAGGCAACCAUCUCCAGUGGAC